CUCUCAUCUCCCUGCCAAGACCUCAAAUAAAAUCGUUUCCUCCUGAAAAUGCCCAUCUCGGAACCUUGGCUGUGCCCCGAGGGAGGCACCGGAAUGGCAAAAGUGAGGACAUACGGCUGCCAGCAUCGUCUAUGCUCUAGAUAGGGGUCAAAUGUCAACUUUCUGCCAGGUCCAGCCCGGAUGUGAGGGCUGUGAAGGCAACAACCAAGGAACCAUUCCUUCGGAUGGAAGUCCUAUGGCAGAGAGAAGCUGAUGUUUGAAUUUUCCUGUAGAGCCCUUGAGGUUCCAUGAAUCAGUCUGGGAAGGAUGCAGGUUAAGUGGGAAGCAGAAGCCCUCAAUCACGUGAUGACGGAAAAGCCGAAAAGGCUGGGUUAUACCCUUAGGAAACCUAUUUGUUUCUUGGCUCCCUGCAGGGGCAUGCACACUAGCAAAGGCUCAAUCCCUUCAUUAUUCAUUUGAUCACAAAAGAAGGAAUGAGAGGAAAAAUACUUUUAUUUUUCACCAAGCAAUCACCAAGCGCAGUCUCAACGAAGAGCCCCUCCUUCUUUCAUGUCUUCUUUUGUGUGUGACUUACUCAGUCUAAGUUUCAUCCACAGGUAAAGGAACCCAAGCUGGGCCCAAUGCCAAGUGCACUUCUUCAAUGUUACAUUCUGGGACAGGAGAGAGGAUCACUGGUUGAGCCUACCUACUCUGUGGACACAUUGUAAUCCUGAAACUGUUCUGAGCUUCCAUUCAUGGCCAGGACACCUGAUCACUUCAUCGUUGGGUUCUGUGUUUGAAAACUGGGCCAGCUCUGAACCUGGGUGACAGAACACACUGUGGAGAAACCUUGUCUCUAGGAUCUUGCUCAUACACUCUUGGCUCCUCUUGCUCUGGUGGAGCUCCUCAGUGCCCACUGGGAAAGUGAUCUGGCUCCCAAGACCACCAGCCUGUUCAAGUCAUGGAUGGCACCAGUUUUCACAGGCUGAGUGAUUAGAAAACAGACUCUGGGACAGCUGUGUACAUAAGAGUCAUCUGGGCAUUGCUCUUACAAUCCCUGUAGAAGACAAGAGCUCAGAAUCGUCUGAAGAAAACAAACAAACAAACAAACAAACAAGAAAAGCAGAGUUCCUGAACUCUGAGGCUGAUACUAGGACUUAUGGCUAUUCGGUGGAGCAACUCUCUAGCCUUGAUAUGGCAACAGCUGUGUCACUUCCCACCCUAGUCACCAUUUCUCUAAGGGACCUAACCCUGCAUGCUCAUCACCACUGAUAUAUUACUCCUCGCUCAAACUUACUAAAAGUUCCAACUCUGUAGUACCAGAGCAUUAACGUAAGUGUGGCUAGAUCCCAUUGAGCGCAUGGUGUUGGUGCCAUGGCAACACGUGGGCGCAUGCGCACGGGUCUGCCCCUGAGUCCACUGCCCUCAUCGGUUACAUCCCCAAACUGCCAACAUUUGUGUUGUCUUUGAAAAUCAUGAGUCGCUCCUUCCUCCUUCUUGAUCUGUCUGAAAGUUGUCCCCACCCAUAACUUCCCUGUUUAGCCCCAGCCUGUAGAGAAGGCAGCAAGAAGAUGCUUGUAUGGGGCAAUCCAUUUGACCCAGAGAAAAAGAGAACCAAGAGGAUGCAGGCA
RNAcentral lists this long non-coding RNA (1610 nucleotides) under Mus musculus (house mouse). Its description in RNAcentral is "RIKEN cDNA E130008D07 gene". The record is from RNAcentral. Lineage: Eukaryota; Metazoa; Chordata; Mammalia; Rodentia; Muridae.